AGUGAUAUUACUGGGUCAAAUGGUGGUUCCAUUUCAAGUUUUCUAAGGAAUCUCCAUACUAUCUUCCAGAAUGGUUGCACCAAUUUGAAGUCCCACUAGCAAU
This 103-nucleotide microRNA precursor is filed under the name Marmota monax (woodchuck). The record is from RNAcentral. Lineage: Eukaryota; Metazoa; Chordata; Mammalia; Rodentia; Sciuridae.